Pogona vitticeps (central bearded dragon) is the source of this 433-nucleotide long non-coding RNA. RefSeq lists it as uncharacterized. The record is from RefSeq and is a predicted model, not a curated record. NCBI's taxonomy places the organism in Eukaryota, Metazoa, Chordata, Lepidosauria, Squamata, Agamidae.
CCACGAGGGAGACGGAAGAUGGAUGCCAACAUACAGGACUCGGCAUGAACUAUCUAAUCCAAAGGACAGGACAACUUUCUGCAAGGAUCUGUCUAAUCUGCCUGUCCCCAGUCUGAUUGUUUGGUGGGAAGGACAGAACCUGGAUGCCCACAAGAUGGAAGACAGCUUCCACUGAAAAAGGUACUGAUGGAAACACUUGGAAGAUUCUCCCCAAAUGGGAACACAAGAGAUUCAGCUUUUCCUGCCUUUAUAAGCUAUGUUUUCCUUUUGUCGAGAGGCUUAUUCUCGCUGAUGAGAUAAGAAUGGGAAGAUGCAUUGAUUUCUGAGCACUCUCUCUCUCUCUCUCUCUCUCAUUUUCCCUCUGUAACGCAUGGGAAAUGAAUACAUACCUCUCCAGAGUCUGUUGACCCUUCACAGCUUUUGUGUGUGUGUG